UGCGGAUCUGCCAUUGGAUCACCGGCCACUCACUGCGGACAGUCAGCUUACCACCAGCACCAGCACCAGCCGCAGCCCUAGCCCUAGCCAAAGCACCUGCGCCGCCCCGAUACCCUUCAGGCCCAUGAACAGCCGGCUCGGUAGCCCUGCUGGUACUGGCACCGCCAGCUUGGGCUCUCGUCCUGUCUCCCCUGGACCCACUGCCAACUUAUUCCAGGCCCUCACCGGCGUGCCGCUUGAAAUGCGGAACGGCGACAUGUUACAGGCCGCACCGGCGCCUGCCGCGGUCUCCGUGCCUACAUCCCCGCAGCGUCGUCCGCUAGUCCAAGGCGCACAGAUAGGAAGGAGGCC
Molecule: long non-coding RNA, 351 nt
Filed under: Volvox carteri
Lineage: Eukaryota; Viridiplantae; Chlorophyta; Chlorophyceae; Chlamydomonadales; Volvocaceae
Description: long non-coding RNA (VCAR_LNC000742)
Source: RNAcentral